RNAcentral lists this small RNA (869 nucleotides) under Pan troglodytes (chimpanzee). RNAcentral describes it as "retained intron". Lineage: Eukaryota; Metazoa; Chordata; Mammalia; Primates; Hominidae. The record is from RNAcentral.
GGACAGAAAAAAAUGCAUGAGCUCCAGUCCAAAGUGGAAGAUCUUCAGCGCCAGCUGGAAGAGAAAAGACAACAAGUUUAUAAGUUAGACCUUGAAGGACAGCGACUACAAGGAAUCAUGCAGGAAUUCCAGAAGCAAGAACUAGAACGAGAAGAAAAACGAGAAAGUAGAAGAAUUCUGUAUCAGAACCUUAAUGAGCCAGCCACGUGGAGCUUAACCAGUGAUCGAACUAGAAAUUGGGUUCUUCAACAGAAAAUAGAAGGAGAAACAAAAGAAUCAAACUACGCUAAAUUGAUUGAAAUGAAUGGAGGAGGAACCGGCUGUAAUCAUGAAUUAGAAAUGAUCAGACAAAAGCUUCAGUGUGUAGCUUCAAAACUACAGGUUCUACCCCAGAAAGCCUCUGAGAGACUACAGUUUGAAACAGCAGAUGAUGAAGAUUUCAUUUGGGUUCAGGAAAAUAUUGAUGAAAUUAUUUUACAACUACAGAAAUUAACUGGCCAGCAAGGUGAAGAGCCCAGCUUGGUGUCCCCAAGUACUUCUUGUGGCUCAUUGACUGAAAGACUACUGAGACAAAAUGCUGAGCUGACAGGGCAUAUCAGUCAACUGACUGAAGAGAAGAAUGACUUAAGGAACAUGGUUAUGAAGCUAGAAGAGCAGAUCAGGUGGUAUCGACAGACAGGAGCUGGUAGAGAUAAUGUAUGUCCAUUUUUAGCAUCUCCAUAUAUGAGAAUUAGUGCAUGCUUAUCAUUUCUGCUGUCUAGUUCAAGUUUUAAUCCUGUUAAUGUAAAACUAUCACACACCUGAUUCUUAGGAUCUGUAGAAAAUUUUAUAGGGAUGACAAUAAUAAUAUUAUUACUAAGUUAUAAUAA